UGAAUGUUCACAGCAAUGAGUCCAUAAUAGUUAAACUAUGGAAGGAGUCCAGAUGUCCAUAGACAGAUUAAUGGAUAAAGAAGAUGUGGGAGAUAUAUAUACAAGGGA
Long non-coding RNA from Mustela erminea (ermine), 108 nucleotides. RefSeq lists it as uncharacterized. The transcript has 3 exons. The record is from RefSeq and is a predicted model, not a curated record. NCBI's taxonomy places the organism in Eukaryota, Metazoa, Chordata, Mammalia, Carnivora, Mustelidae.